This 242-nucleotide ribosomal RNA is filed under the name uncultured bacterium. RNAcentral's name for it is "partial 16S ribosomal RNA". It matches the Rfam family "Bacterial small subunit ribosomal RNA", at positions 64 to 334 of the family's 1533-position model. The record is from RNAcentral.
GAACGAUGCUUUCGGGCAUAGUGGCGCACGGGUGCGUAACGCGUGGGAAUCUGCCCUUUGGUCUGGGAUAACUGUUGGAAACGACAGCUAAUACCGGAUGAUGACGUAAGUCCAAAGAUUUAUCGCCAGAGGAUGAGCCCGCGUCGGAUUAGCUAGUUGGUGGGGUAAAGGCCUACCAAGGCGACGAUCCGUAGCUGGUCUGAGAGGAUGAUCAGCCACACUGGGACUGAGACACGGCCCAG